Molecule: ribosomal RNA, 1487 nt
Filed under: uncultured bacterium
Lineage: Bacteria
Description: bacterial SSU rRNA
Rfam family: Bacterial small subunit ribosomal RNA
Source: RNAcentral
AGAGUUUGAUCCUGGCUCAGGAUGAACGCUAGCGGGAGGCUUAACACAUGCAAGUCGAGGGGCAUCACGAGGUAGCAAUACUUUGGUGGCGACCGGCAGACGGGUGAGUAACGCGUAUGCAACCUACCCUGUACAGGGGGAUANNNNNNNNNNNNNNNNNNNAAUAUCCCAUAAUAUUAUUUGGAGGCAUCUUCGGAUAAUUAAAGUUCCGGCGGUACGGGAUGGGCAUGCGUAACAUUAGCUAGUUGGUAAGGUAACGGCUUACCAAGGCUUUGAUGUUUAGGGGUCCUGAGAGGGUGGUCCCCCACACUGGUACUGAGACACGGACCAGACUCCUACGGGAGGCAGCAGUGAGGAAUAUUGGUCAAUGGGCGCAAGCCUGAACCAGCCAUCCCGCGUGCAGGAUGACGGCCCUAUGGGUUGUAAACUGCUUUUCCGAAAGCAAGAAAAACAUCCACGUGUGGGUGCCCGACGGUAGUGUAUGAAUAAGCAUCGGCUAACUCCGUGCCAGCAGCCGCGGUAAUACGGAGGAUGCAAGCGUUAUCCGGAUUCAUUGGGUUUAAAGGGUGCGUAGGCGGCUUUUUAAGUCAGUGGUGAAAUCCUGCCGCUUAACGGUAGAAUUGCCAUUGAUACUGAAAAGCUUGAGUACAUUUGAGGUAAGCGGAAUGUGUAGUGUAGCGGUGAAAUGCUUAGAUAUAACACAGAACACCAAUUGCGAAGGCAGCUUACCGGGCUACAACUGACGCUGAGGCACGAAAGCGUGGGGAUCAAACAGGAUUAGAUACCCUGGUAGUCCACGCCGUAAACUAUGAUUACUAGUUGUUGGCGAUACAUUGCCAGUGACUGAGCGAAAGCAUUAAGUAAUCCACCUGGGGAGUACGUUCGCAAGAAUGAAACUCAAAGGAAUUGACGGGGGCCCGCACAAGCGGAGGAGCAUGUGGUUUAAUUCGAUGAUACGCGAGGAACCUUACCUGGGCUCGAACGUAUAGGGAAUUAUGCCGAAAGGUAUAAGCCAGCAGGACUACUUACGAGGUGCUGCAUGGUUGUCGUCAGCUCGUGCCGUGAGGUGUUAGGUUAAGUCCUGCAACGAGCGCAACCCUUACCUUUAGUUGCCAGCAUGUAAUGAUGGGGACUCUAAAGGAACUGCCUACGCAAGUAGUGAGGAAGGUGGGGAUGACGUCAAAUCAGCACGGCCCUUAUGUCCAGGGCUACACACGUGUUACAAUGGCCGAUACAAAGGGCAGCUACUCCGCGAGGAGAUGCUAAUCUCUAAAGUCGGUCCCAGUUCGGAUUGGAGUCUGCAACCCGACUCCAUGAAGUUGGAUUCGCUAGUAAUCGCGCAUCAGCCAUGGCGCGGUGAAUACGUUCCCGGGCCUUGUACACACCGCCCGUCAAACCAUGGGAGCUGGGGGUGCCUGAAGUCUGCCACCGCAAGGAGCGGCCUAGGGUAAAACCAGUGACUGGGGUUAAGUCGUAACAAGGUAACC